CAGGCGGGUCUCCAGCCCUCCAGUGCAUUCUCCCUCCCCCUUUCAGGGUUCUCCAGCUCUUGGACAGAGUGCCUACAAGAGGCAAGGCAGCUGUGUGCACAACCAUCUCAGCUCAGGGAUACACAGCUCUGUGGAGCUGCCAGGUGGGCAGCAGGACAGCGGCUUUGUGACACUCACCUACUAUCCAUGAAUAGUGGCUAGGAAGACUUUGCCGUCUUUUCCAUCCAUUCCUGAGCACUGUGGAAAAGUUGAGAUGGAUGUUCCAGGGUUCCAAUGCACCUCUCUCACCUGCCAGUGCAAGCCCCUGUUUCUUUCUGUGCCUUCUGUGAAGGGAGAGGGGGAGCCAUCCCAUCUCGAGAGCUUGUUGUAAAGGAUUUCAAAAGGCAAUUCAAGAGAUUAGAAAACCAGGUCAGUGAGAUGGCUGAGGUAAGGGCAAUCACUCUCAACUGUGACUACCCGGGUUCGAUCCUUGGAACAAAUGAUGAAGGAAGAGAAACAGCCCCGAGCUCCACACAUGUGCCCUCCACAAAUGGCCAGGCACAGCCACUCUACGGAGGGCAGGAACUCAGGAGGAGGCCUAGCUCUGAUGGAACCAGGACCCUGAGAGCCUCAGGGAGGCUGAGAUGACUCCAAGGAGAGCGGGGCUCAGGGGACAGUCACAGGAUGAGGGGGCUUGGAGUCGAGAAGAGGACACGGAUGGGCCAGGCCAGGGCUGGGAUGGAGUUGCAACACCUUCCGGUUCGUUCUGCCCAGGAAGAGGGUGGGAUAGAGCAGCGCGAUCUGGCUUGUUGCUGGGAGACACCGUCACUAAAGGUCCACAAUUAUAAUUGCAACUGUUCUUGUUUCUUUUAAAAAUUAAAUUAAAAAGCCCACAAGAAUCUCGCGCUUGUCAGAGUCUUCCUCCCCCGCUGUCCGUUCCUAUUGCGAAUCCGUGGCAUCUGCUAGGAGUUAAUUGCACGCCGUGUAAAGGAUGCAAACCUUCCUUUAACGGAUUUUCCUUCUGGAUGAGGGCUAACCCCUCUACCCCCCUCGGCUCCUUCCCCGCCCCCUCCCAUCCCCCAGCGGAGAAAAGAGGGACUUGCCUGACCUCCUCCACCCAGCCCUCUGCUUCUUGGAGCCUGCCUCUUCCUGCUGG
RNAcentral lists this long non-coding RNA (1135 nucleotides) under Cricetulus griseus (Chinese hamster). Its description in RNAcentral is "lncRNA (ENSCGRG00015042767.1)". Lineage: Eukaryota; Metazoa; Chordata; Mammalia; Rodentia; Cricetidae. The record is from RNAcentral.